This 378-nucleotide ribosomal RNA is filed under the name uncultured eukaryote. RNAcentral describes it as "partial 18S ribosomal RNA". It matches the Rfam family "Eukaryotic small subunit ribosomal RNA", at positions 592 to 975 of the family's 1831-position model. The record is from RNAcentral.
CAAUAGCGUAUAUUAAAGUUGUUGCGGUUAAAAAGCUCGUAGUUGGAUUUCUGCUGAGAACGACCGGUCCGCCCUUUGGGUGUGUAUCUGGCUCUUUCUUGGCAUCUUCUUGGUGAACGUUGCUGCACUUGACUGUGUGGAGCGCUACCCAGGACUUUUACUUUGAGGAAAUUAGAGUGUUUCAAGCAGGCGAACGCCUUGAAUACAUUAGCAUGGAAUAAUAAAAUUGAACUUAGUUCUUUUUUGUUGGUUUCUGGAACUAAGGUAUUGAUUAAUAGGAACAGUCGGGGGCAUUCGUACUUAACAGUCAGAGGUGAAAUUCUUGGAUUUGUUAAAGACGAACUAAUGCGAAAGCAUUUGCCAAGGAUGUUUUCAUUG